UGAAUUCUCUCCCCCAGUGCCACAGACCUGAGGGCACGUGACCCAGGAAUGUGCAUCCAAAGAUAAUACUACCUUCAGAGAACUCUACUUAUAGUGGUGAAAUUGAAUCACUGAAGCAGCUGAGGCAGAGAGCUUUUCCUUCAGGAUUCACGGCCUAUUUCUCAGUUCUGGGAAGACAACUCUAACAACUCAACAGAGUGAAGAGAGAUAAAGAUGUUGGGAAUGACUGAUUUCAAACAAUCAAAACUGCUUUGGGGAUGAGGAUGAAGUUGGGACAUUACUGCCUUGUAUACCACAUACUAUAAUAUUUAUUAUGUCUAUUGUUUAUUGUGUGUGUCCUUCUUUAGAAUUUUAACUCCCCAAGGGCAAAGAUCCCUGACUGUUUUGCUUAUCAAUGUAUCCAAAAGGCCUAAAACAGAGCCUUGUACCCUAUACACACUCUGCAAAUAUUUGCUGAAUUGAAUAAAAGGCUGCCGAUCUAUAAA
RNAcentral lists this long non-coding RNA (485 nucleotides) under Homo sapiens (human). RNAcentral describes it as "non-protein coding LINC00867:5". The record is from RNAcentral. Lineage: Eukaryota; Metazoa; Chordata; Mammalia; Primates; Hominidae.